Molecule: small RNA, 112 nt
Filed under: Marmota monax (woodchuck)
Lineage: Eukaryota; Metazoa; Chordata; Mammalia; Rodentia; Sciuridae
Source: RNAcentral
GCCAGGAGGGGUGCUCUUGUGGUCCCAGCUACUCAGGAGGCUGAGGUGGGAGGAUCACCUGGGCCCAUGAGUCCCAGACCAGCCUGGGCAACAGAGUGAGACCCUGUCUUAA